This 1129-nucleotide ribosomal RNA is filed under the name Collinsella aerofaciens. RNAcentral's name for it is "partial 23S ribosomal RNA". It matches the Rfam family "Bacterial large subunit ribosomal RNA", at positions 891 to 1898 of the family's 2925-position model. Lineage: Bacteria; Bacillati; Actinomycetota; Coriobacteriia; Coriobacteriales; Coriobacteriaceae. The record is from RNAcentral.
GAUUACAGGAGGUAGAGCACUGAAUAGUCUAGGGGAAGUAAUUCUACCGAAACUUAUCAAACUCCGAAUGCCUGAAAAUCGAUGAACAGGAGUCAGACCAUGAGGGAUAAGCUUCAUAGUCAAAAGGGAAACAGCCCAGACCACCAGUUAAGGUCCCAAAAUACAGAUUAAGUGGGAAAGGAUGUAAUACUACUCAGACAACCAGGAUGUUGGCUCAGAAGCAGCCAUACAUUUAAAGAGUGCGUAAUAGCUCACUGGUCAAGUGGUAAUGCGCCGAAGAUGAACGGGGCUAAAUCUGAUACCGAAACUGUGGGAUAGAAAAGCAAUUAUGCGAGAAGUAUGAAGUAAAAGUGAUUAGGAAAUAUAUCAACUAGUAAAGUAAGAGAUAAAGACAUAAAUUAAAACUAUUAAACGAUACAAUUUCUAAAACACUUAACAACAUACAACUGGCAUAAUAGCUUUUCUAUCGGUAGAGGAGCGUUGUAUAUGAAUUGAAGCAAAAAGCGCAAGCAAUUGUGGAUUAUAUACAAGUGAGAAUGCUGGCAUGAGUAGCGAAAAGGGAUGUGAGAAUCAUCCCCGUCGAAAGCCCAAGGAUUCCUGAGCAAGGCUCGUCCUCUCAGGGUAAGUCGGGACCUAAGGCGAGGCCGAAAGGCGUAGUCGAUGGACAACAGGUAGAAAUUCCUGUACUACAAGAUUGUGAUUGAGAGAAGUACUGACGCAGAAGGAAAAGUCGAGCGUGUGAAUGGUAGAACACGUCCAAGUAACAAGCCAGAAUAUACAGGCAAAUCCGUAUAUUCGUUAACGUAAGUUAUCAUGGGGAGCAGAAAGAUGCGAAGCGACAGAUUCAAACUGCCAAGAAAAGGUGCUAUCGAAUAAUCUUGUACCCGUACCGCAAACCGACACAGGUAGGCAAGAAGAGAAUUCUAAGACGCGCGGAAGAACCUUUGUUAAGGAACUCGGCAAAAUAAUCCCGUAAGUUAGCGAGAAGGGAUGCCUAAGAAAUUAGGUCGCAGAGAAUAGGCCCAAGCGACUGUUUACCAAAAACACAAGUAUCUGCUAAAUCGAAAGAUGAAGUAUAGGUGCUGACACCUGCCCGGUGCUGGAAGGUCAAGGGGACUUGUUAGAGCAA